GAUGAACGCUGGCGGCGUGCCUAACACAUGCAAGUCGAGCGAACGGACGAGAAGCUUGCUUCUCUGAUGUUAGCGGCGGAUGGGUGCGUAACACGUGGAUAACCUACCUAUAAGACUGGGAUAACUACGGGAAACCGGAGCUAAUACCGGAUAAUAUUUUGCACCGCAUGGUUCAAAAGUGAAAGACGGUCUUGCUGUUACUUAUAGAUGGAUCCGCGCUGCAUUAGCGAGUUGGUAAGGUAACGGCUUACCAAGGCAACGAUGCAUAGCCGACCUGGGAGAGGGAUCGUCCACACUGGAACUGAGAGACGGGCCAGACUCCUACUGGAGGCAGCAGUAGGGAAUCUUGCGCGAUGGGCGAAAGCCUGACGGAGCAACGCCGGGUGGGUUAUGAAGGUCUUCGGAUCGGAAAACUCUGUUAUUAGGGAAGAACAUAUGUGUAAGUAACUGAGCACAUCUUGACGGUACCUAAGCAGAAAGCCACGGCUAACUACGUG
Molecule: ribosomal RNA, 497 nt
Filed under: uncultured bacterium
Lineage: Bacteria
Description: partial 16S ribosomal RNA
Rfam family: Bacterial small subunit ribosomal RNA
Source: RNAcentral